RNAcentral lists this ribosomal RNA (429 nucleotides) under uncultured bacterium. RNAcentral describes it as "bacterial SSU rRNA". It matches the Rfam family "Bacterial small subunit ribosomal RNA", at positions 8 to 422 of the family's 1533-position model. The record is from RNAcentral.
AGAGUUUGAUCCUGGCUCAGAACGAACGCUGGCGGCGUGCCUAACACAUGCAAGUCGAACGGAGUGAAGGAGCUUGCUCUUUCAUUUAGUGGCGCACGGGUGAGUAACGCGUAGAUAAUCUGCCUUGGACUCUGGGAUAACAUCUCGAAAGGGGUGCUAAUACCGGAUAAGCCCACGAUGGCGUAAGUCAUUGCGGGAAAAGGGGGCCUCUGAAUAUGCUCCUGAUUCAAGAUGAGUCUGCGUACCAUUAGCUAGUUGGUAGGGUAAGAGCCUACCAAGGCGACGAUGGUUAGCUGGUCUGAGAGGAUGAUCAGCCACACUGGAACUGAAACACGGUCCAGACUCCUACGGGAGGCAGCAGUGGGGAAUUUUGCGCAAUGGGGGAAACCCUGACGCAGCAACGCCGCGUGAGUGAUGAAGGCUUUCGGG